This 300-nucleotide long non-coding RNA is filed under the name Numida meleagris (helmeted guineafowl). RNAcentral describes it as "lncRNA (ENSNMEG00000020718.1)". Lineage: Eukaryota; Metazoa; Chordata; Aves; Galliformes; Numididae. The record is from RNAcentral.
AUCUUAGGAAACGUGGAUUCUUCUUGGCAAAUAUGGAUCUAGAUUAGUCAUGCCAAUCUCCGCAGACUUCAUCUGGAUGCUUAGUGCUCCUGAAACUUGGCCAUCUCUGCCUUCAGGCAGUGUUACUCUGGUGCUGAUUCCACUUCACGGGAACAUUUCUGAAUGAGGACUGAAGCACCUCCAGUUGUUCAGAGGAAAUGUUAUCACACAUCGGUGGACAAAACAGGCAAGCCACUUUACAACAGGAUGAAUGAAGGAAGGCUCCAAGAAUGUCCAAAGUUUCCAUAGCUGAACUAUUUC